RNAcentral lists this ribosomal RNA (253 nucleotides) under uncultured bacterium. RNAcentral describes it as "partial 16S ribosomal RNA". It matches the Rfam family "Bacterial small subunit ribosomal RNA", at positions 524 to 776 of the family's 1533-position model. The record is from RNAcentral.
UACAGAGGGGGCAAGCGUUAUUCGGAAUUAUUGGGCGUAAAGGGCGCGUAGGCGGCUUUGCAAGUGACGGGUGAAAGCCCUCGGCUUAACCGAGGAACUGCCUGUCAGACUGUAAGGCUUGAGACCGGGAGAGGUGAGUGGAAUUCCCAGUGUAGCGGUGGAAUGCGUAGAGAUCGAUCGGAAUGCCAAGGGUGAAGACAACCCGCUGGGGCUUUCCUGACGCUGAGGCACGAAAGCGUGGGGAUCAAACAGG